AGAGUUUGAUCCUGGCUCAGAGCGAACGCUGGCGGCAGGCCUAAUACAUGCAAGUCGAGCGGGUCCUUCGGGAUUAGCGGCGGACGGGUGAGUAACGCGUGGGAACGUGCCCUUUGGUACGGAACAACUGAGGGAAACUUCAGCUAAUACCGUAUGUGCCCUUCGGGGAAAGAUUUAUCGCCAUUGGAGCGGCCCGCGUUGGAUUAGGUAGUUGGUGAGGUAAAGGCUCACCAAGCCUACGAUCCAUAGCUGGUCUGAGAGGAUGACCAGCCACACUGGGACUGAGACACGGCCCAGACUCCUACGGGAGGCAGCAGUAGGGAAUCUUGCGCAAUGGGCGAAAGCCUGACGCAGCCAUGCCGCGUGAAUGAUGAAGGUCUUAGGAUUGUAAAAUUCUUUCACCGGGGACGAUAAUGACGGUACCCGGAGAAGAAGCCCCGGCUAACUUCGUG
RNAcentral lists this ribosomal RNA (452 nucleotides) under uncultured bacterium. RNAcentral's name for it is "bacterial SSU rRNA". It matches the Rfam family "Bacterial small subunit ribosomal RNA", at positions 8 to 507 of the family's 1533-position model. The record is from RNAcentral.